Molecule: ribosomal RNA, 301 nt
Filed under: uncultured bacterium
Lineage: Bacteria
Description: partial 16S ribosomal RNA
Rfam family: Bacterial small subunit ribosomal RNA
Source: RNAcentral
CAGUAGCCGCGGUAAUACGUAGGUGGCAAGCGUUGUCCGGAAUUAUUGGGCGUAGAGGGCUCGCAGGCGGUUUCUUAAGUCUGAUGUGAAAGCCCCCGGCUCAACCGGGGAGGGUCAUUGGAAACUGGGAAACUUGAGUGCAGAAGAGGAGAGUGGAAUUCCACGUGUAGCGGUGAAAUGCGUAGAGAUGUGGAGGAACACCAGUGGCGAAGGCGACUCUCUGGUCUGUAACUGACGCUGAGGAGCGAAAGCGUGGGGAGCGAACAGGAUUAGAUACCCCUGUAGUCCCUGUCUCUUAUAC